UACGAGAGGUCCUAGCGUUAGUCGGAAUCACUGGGCUUAAAGGGUGCGUAGGCGGGUCUGUAAGUGCUUUGUGAAAUCCCCGGGCUCAACCCGGGAAUUGCAGGGCAUACUGCGGACCUUGAGGAAUCUAGAGGCCGGCAGAACGAUAGGUGGAGCGGUGGAAUGCGUAGAUAUCUAUCGGAAUGCCAAAGGUGAAGACAGCCGGCUGGGGAUUUCCUGACGCUGAGGCACGAAAGCGUGGGGAUCAAACAGG
RNAcentral lists this ribosomal RNA (253 nucleotides) under uncultured bacterium. Its description in RNAcentral is "partial 16S ribosomal RNA". It matches the Rfam family "Bacterial small subunit ribosomal RNA", at positions 524 to 776 of the family's 1533-position model. The record is from RNAcentral.